UUCAAGUUGAUACUUUAUAUUUAGCUGAGUCGGGGUGUCCGACUGACGCUUCUGUGUUUGUGAAAUUAAAUCAAGGGGCCUUGCUUUGAGAGAUGGUGCAAGCACUUCUUUCAUUUGCCUCCUUUUCCUAUUCCCUUUGCCACCAAUUUCUGGAAUACCUGAACCAUCCAGUGCUAACAUAAACACAGCUAGGGUUGAUCCGACAAAGAUGGGGGUCGGACGGGCCAUUGCUGUACUGACAUCAGGUGGUGAUGCCCAAGACCAGAAAUGCGGGUUCUCGUCUGAAUGUGAUAAUUGUGGCUGAGGGAGCAAUCAACAAAGAAGGGAAACCAAUCACCUGUGACCAGCUAAAAGAUGGUGGCACCCCAACUCCUUUUGACAGAAAUUUUGCUACCAAGAUGGGUGCUAAAGAUGUUCUCUGACUGACUGAGAAACUGAAGGAGUGUUACAGACACGACUCUGCGUGUAUGUUGGGCAUGAGGAAGACAGGACUGGUGUUAGCCUCUGGCUGAAUUGAAAGAACAAACAGAUUUUGAACACUGUAUUCCGCAGAACCAGUGGUGGUUGAAGCUGAGGCCUAUUAUGAAGAUCUUGGCCAAGUACAAGAUUAGUCUGGACACCUCUGAACACGCUCUUAUGGAGCAUGUCAUCAGCAGGAAGCCUCCAAUUCACGACUCUCACGUAGUAAUCAUGAGCAAAAAUGUGGGCCGACAGAUACAAAAAAAAAAAAAAAAAAACCAUAUGAAAUGACUGAAUUAUUUAUUUAAAUUAUUUGUUCAUCUGUCUAUUUCUUAUACUUUCAUUUUGUUUGUAUUUAUAGUAUUUAUGGUAAUGCUUGUGCACUAUUUUAUCUGAUACAAAAUCUGACUGAAUAUAAAUUUCUUAGACAAGAAAGAUUUAUUUCCUAUAUAUAAAGGAAACUUUUAUAUAAUUGUCCAGUAAAAGAACUAUGUUCACCACCAAAUGUCAGUCAUGAAUGGAUCAUCCUAGAAAUGCUAUAAUACAUCUGUAUGUUUAUUCAUUGUUAUGCAUUAUUGAAAUAAUGACACACAUUGUCUUAAUUUACAUGUACUGGUUGGAUGAAAUGCUCCUUUACUUUAAACUCCUUU
Long non-coding RNA from Cyprinus carpio carpio, 1109 nucleotides. Lineage: Eukaryota; Metazoa; Chordata; Actinopteri; Cypriniformes; Cyprinidae. The record is from Ensembl.